Molecule: non-coding RNA, 1803 nt
Organism: Capsicum annuum
Lineage: Eukaryota; Viridiplantae; Streptophyta; Magnoliopsida; Solanales; Solanaceae
Source: Rfam
UACCUAGUUAAGCCAGCUAGUAGACAUAUGUUUGUCUCAAAUAUUAAGCCAUGCAUAUGUAAGUACGAACAAAUUCAGACUGUGAAACAACGAAUGGGUCAUUAAAUCAGUUAUAGUUUUUUUGAUGGUAUCUACUACUCGGAUAAUCAUCGUAUUUCUAGAGCUAAUACGUGAAAAAAAACCCAACUUCUGGAAGGGAUGCAUUUAUUAGAUAAAAGGUCAACCCGGGCUCUUUCUGUUGCUGCAAUGAUUCAUGAUAACUCGACGGAUCGCAUGACCAUCGAGACAGCGAUGCAUCACUUAAAUUUCUGCCCUAUAAACUUUUGAUGGUAGGAUAGUGGCCUACCAUGGUGGUGAUGGGUAAUGAAGAAUUUGGGUUUGAUUUUAGAGAGGGAUCCUGAGAAAUGACUACCACAUCAAAGAAAGGAACUAGGUGCAGAAAUUACCCAAUCAUGACACGGGGAGGUAGUGAUAAUAAAUAAAAAUACUGGGCUCAAUGAGUCUGGUAAUUGGAAUGACUACAAUCUAAAUCCCUUAAUAAGGAUCCAUUGAAGGGAAAGUCUAGCACCAUCAACCGCGGUAAUUCCAUCUCCAAUAGUGUAUAUUUAAAUUAUUGCAGUUAAAAACCUCAUAGUUAGACUUUAGGAUGGACCGAACGGUCCGCCUAUGGUAUGCCCCAGUCAUCUCAUCCCUUCUAUCGGCGAUGCACUCCUGGCCUCAACUGUCCGGGUCGUGUCUUCGGAACUGUAACUUUGAAGAAAUUAGAGUGCUCAAAGCAAGCCUACACUGUCUAUACAUUAGCAUAGGAUAACAUUAUAGGGUUUCAGCCCUAUUAUGUUGGCCUUAAGGAUCAGAGUAGUGAUUAACAGGGACAACUGAGGGCAUUAGUAUUUCAUAGUCAGAGGUGAAAUUCUUGAAUUGAUGAAAGGUUAACAACUAUGAAAGAAUUUGCCAAGGAUGUUUUCAUUAAUCAAGAACGAAAGUUGGGGGCUCAAAGAUAAUCAGAUAUUGUCUUAUUCUCAACCAUAAAUGAUGCCGACCAGGGAUCAGUGGAUGUUGGUUUUAGGACUCUAUCGAUACCAUAUGAGAAAUUAAAGUUUUUGGGUUCUGGGGGGAGUACCCUCGCAAGGCUGAAACUUAAAGGAAUUGACUGAAGGACACCACCAGGAGUGGAGCCUGCGUCUUAAUUUGACUUAACACGGGGAAACAUACCAGGUCCAGACAUAGUAAGUAUUGAUAGACUGAGCACUCUUUCUUGAUUCUAUGGGUGGUGGUGCAUGGCCGUUCUUAGUUCAAAGAGCGAUUUGUCUAGUUAUUCCAUUAAUGAAUGAGACCUCAGCAUGAUAACUAGCUAUGUGGAGGUAUCCCUUCGCGGUCAGCUUCUUAGAGGGACUACGAACUUUGAGGCCUCGAAAGUUUUAGGAAAUAACAAGUCUGUGAUGCCCUUAGAUGUUUUGGGCCACGUGCUACAUUGAUGUAUUCAACUAUUUUAUAGACUUGGCGGACAGGCUCGUGUAAUAUUUGAAAUUUCAUUGUGAUCGGGAUAUAUUAUUGAAAUUGUUAGUCUUUAUUGAGGAAUUCCUAGUAAGAGCAACUCAUCAUCUUACGUUAACUGCGUACCUUCCCUUUGCACACACCGGCCAUCGCUCCUACUAAUUGAAUGAUACAAUGAAAUGUUUGGAUCGCGGCAACAUGGGCGGUUCGCUACCCGCGACAUUGCGAAAAGUCCAUUGAACCUUAUGAUUUAGAGGAAGGAGAAGUUGUAACAAGGUUUUCGUAGGUUAACCUGCGAAAGAAUAAUUA